CGCGGUAAUUCCAGCUCCAAUAGCGUAUACUAAAGUUGUUGCGGUUAAAAAGCUCGUAGUUGGAUCUUGGAAUGUGUUCAAGCGGGUCAGCUUCUGGCUGUGCGCUGCUUGACGUGUUCUUCUAUUUGGUUUUGGUGCGGUGCGCUUAACUGCGUGUCGCUCCCGGCCGAAACGUUUACCUUGAAAAAAUUAGAGUGUUCAAAGCAGACCUGUUUGAGUCUGAAUAUUCGUGCAUGGAAUAAUGAAAUAUGAAUUCGGUUCUAUUUUGUUGGUUUUCGGAACUCGAGUUAAUGAUCAAGAGGGACAGACGGGGGCAUUCGUACUCUGCCGUUAGAGGUGAAAUUCUUGGAUCGGCGGAAGACGCGCAACUGCGAAAGCAUUUGCCAAGAAUGUUUUCUUUAAUCAAGAACGAUAGUCGGAGGUUCGAAGACGAUCAGAUACCGUCCUAGUUUCGACUGUAAACUAUGCCAGCUAACGAUCAGACAGAGUUCUCUACGACUUGUCUGGCAGUUUCCGGGAAACCAAAGCGUUUGGGUUCCGGGGGAAGUAUGGUUGCAAAGCUGAAACUUAAAGGAAUUGACGGAAGGGCACCACCAGGAGUGGAGCCUGCGGCUUAAUUUGACUCAACACGGGGAAACUCACCCGGCCCGGACACAGUGAGGAUUGACAGAUUGAGAGUUCUUUCUUGAUUCUGUGGGUGGUGGUGCAUGGCCGUUCUUAGUUGGUGGAGCGAUUUGUCUGGUUAAUUCCGAUAACGAACGAGACUCUGGCAUGUUAAAUAGUCGCGGAAGUGCGUAUGCACUUGCCGAAUUGACUUCUUAGAGGGACUAGUGAUUUUAAUUCACACGAGAUUGAGCAAUACACAGGUCUGUGAUG
Molecule: ribosomal RNA, 876 nt
Filed under: uncultured eukaryote
Lineage: Eukaryota
Description: SSU rRNA
Rfam family: Eukaryotic small subunit ribosomal RNA
Source: RNAcentral